CGUGCCAGCAGUCGCGUUAAUACGUAGGUGCGAGCGUACUCGGAUUCACUGGGCGUAAAGGGUCCGCAGGGGGUUUGCCGAGUCCGGUGUGAAAUCCUGCAGCUCAACUGCAGAACUGCGUUGGAUACUGGUGGACUGGAGUGCACGAUGGGGGAGCGGAAUUCCCGGUGUAGCGGUGGAAUGCGUAGAUAUCGGGAAGAACACCGAUGGCGAAAGCGGCUCUCUGGCGUGCUACUGACCCUCAGGGACGAAAGCGUGGGUAGCAAACAGGAUUAGAUACCCUGGUAGUCCACGCUGUAAACGGUGCGCACUAGAUGUGGGGGUACUUCUGGUCCCGUCCGUGUCCAAGCCAACGCGUUAAGUGCGCCGCCUGGGGACUACGGCUGCAAGGCUAAAACUCAAAGGAAUUGACGGGGGCCCGCACAAGCGGUGGAGCAUGUGGCUCAAUUCGAGGCAACGCGAAGAACCUUACCUGGGUCUGACAUAUACCGGACCGUCCUGGAAACAGGGCUUUUCUCUUUUGAGGACCGGUAUACAGGUGCUGCAUGGCUGUCGUCAGCUCGUGCCGUGAGGUGUUCGGUUAAGUCCGGCAACGAGCGCAACCCGUGUCGCCAGUUGCCAGCGGGUAAUGCCGGGGACUCUGGUGAGACUGCCCGUGUCAAGCGGGAGGAAGGCGCGGAUGACGUCAAGUCCGUAUGGCCCUUACGUCCAGGGCUGCACACGUGCUACAAUGGACGGCACAAUGGGAAGCAAGACCGCGAGGUGGAGCCAAUCCCCAAAACCGUCCCCAGUUCGGAUUGGAGUCUGCAACUCGACUCCAUGAAGCCGGAAUCGCUAGUAAAGGCGUAUCAGCAACGGCGCCUUGAAUACGUUCCCGGGCCUUGUACACACCGCCCGUCACAUCAUGGAAGCCGAGUGCACCCGAAGUUCCGCCUCGAGCGGACCGAAGGUGUGUCCGGUAACUGGGAUGAAGUCGUAACAAG
RNAcentral lists this ribosomal RNA (983 nucleotides) under uncultured Lentisphaerota bacterium. Its description in RNAcentral is "bacterial SSU rRNA". It matches the Rfam family "Bacterial small subunit ribosomal RNA", at positions 504 to 1495 of the family's 1533-position model. The record is from RNAcentral. Lineage: Bacteria; Pseudomonadati; Lentisphaerota.